Molecule: small nucleolar RNA, 95 nt
Organism: Ailuropoda melanoleuca (giant panda)
Lineage: Eukaryota; Metazoa; Chordata; Mammalia; Carnivora; Ursidae
Source: Ensembl
UUUAGAAGCCAAUGAUGUUUUUAUUCACAAUGUCUGAACCUGUCUGAAGCAUCCCAGUGAUGCAACUUCUGUGUGGUGCUGAGGCUUCUCUGUCA